Molecule: unclassified non-coding RNA, 244 nt
Filed under: Hevea brasiliensis (rubber tree)
Lineage: Eukaryota; Viridiplantae; Streptophyta; Magnoliopsida; Malpighiales; Euphorbiaceae
Source: RNAcentral
AUGUUUUAGCUUUUUGUAGGAGAAUUGAACAAUCCUUUGAUGAUAUAUGCUUCCUUAUUAGGCUAUUAUUUUGCAACUAUUAAUGAGGUGGACUUUAGUCAAUUAAUUGUUUAAUGAUGUCUGAAAUUGGAUAAAGCUUUUUUGAGGAAGCUUUGACAAUGUUAUACUGAUUUUUUUUGCCUUGGAAGAAUAUCAGUGGUGUGCUCUCUUUUAUUUGUAAAGUCUGUUUUCUAUUAAGGGAAAA